AGAGUGGUGUAAAAAAAUAGGAAAUGGGGGUUCAGAAACAAGAAAUGUCACAUACAGGCAGAAGCAAAAGAAAAGGCUUUUUGGAUCCUGUUCUGUUUAAACUGAGUCUUUCAAGGAUGGCAGGACUUGGAGAUGUAGACAUGGAGAAGAAGGUGUUCAGGACACAAAGAACAAGAGCUGGGACAACACGUGGGCUGGAAAAGGAUGGAAUAGGUAUGGAGUUGACACAUUUAAUGGAGAGACUGCUCCAUUUGCCCCAUCAGAGGUAUCCAGUGGCAGACAUACCUUCCAGUAAACUUGGAGGUGAUAUUAGAAGAAGCUUCCAGCACCUCUGCUGAGCAAGACAGGUUUGGCUCCUUGCAGAAUGUUCUGGUAAUAAUCUGCUGAUUUCAUGAAGGAAUUUGCAAGUUUAAUUUUAAAGAUCUGGAAUAUUUUAAACAGCACUGGAACUUGUUGUUCAGUUCUGAGUCAUGUCUGACUCUUUGGCCCCAUGAACUGCAGCACUCAGGCUUCCCUGUUCCUUCACUGUCUCCUGGAGUUUGCUCAGAUUCAUGUCAAUUGAAUCAGUGAUGCUAUCUAACCAAUUUAUCCUCUGCUGCCCUCUUCUCCUUUUGCCUUCAAACUUUCCUAGCAUCAGGGUUGGAAUUAUUUGUCUUCAAAAACUUGUUAGAAUCCUUUUUUGAAACUCUUAGCCUAGAACUGUGUGUGUUUGUGUGUGUGUGUGUGUGUGUGUGUGUGUGUGUGUGUGUGUGUGUGAUUAGGGAGAGUGGAGUAAACGGUGACUUCUGGAAUUACAAGUUGCAAGACAGGUUGGAUAGCAGUGCCUUUGCCUGAGAUAGGGAACUCUGGAAGAAAGCCCAGACUGAGUGAAAAUCGCAUGGAUUUAACUUUAGAGAAAUGACGAUUCUGCAGAUUUUGGCUUGGAAGGAGGGUAAGAGUGGCAGGGUACUUGACUAGAAGAUUCCUAUAGAAGUGAAGUGAAGUGAAGUGAAAGGCACUCAGUCAUGUCUGACUCUUUGUGACCCCAUGGACUUUACAGUCUGUGGAAUUCUCCAGGCCAGAAUACUGGAGUGGGUAGCCUUUUUCUUCUCCAGGGCAUCUUUUCAACCCAGGGAUCGAACCCAGGUCUCCCGCAUCGCUGGCAGAUUCUUUACCAACUGAGCCCCAAGGGAAGCCCGAAGACUCCUAUAGAAGCUGUGUUUAAAUAUUGCAUGAGUUUGCUAGGACUGCUGUAAAAAGUACCACACGCUGGGUGGUUUAAACAACAGAAGUUUACUAUCUUACAUUUGUGGAGGCUACAAGUUCAGAACCAAGGUGUCAGCAGUGUUAGUUCAUUCUGCGGGAAAACCUCCCGUCCCUUCUCCUG
This 1366-nucleotide long non-coding RNA is filed under the name Bos indicus x Bos taurus (hybrid cattle). RNAcentral describes it as "lncRNA (ENSBIXG00005013628.1)". Lineage: Eukaryota; Metazoa; Chordata; Mammalia; Artiodactyla; Bovidae. The record is from RNAcentral.